ACUCAUUCUGAACAGGCCUGAAGCCGGGAAGUCGUAUUUCUUUGGGAAAAUGGAUACAGCAAAGGAGCUAUUACAUCAAAUUUACCAACAUAAACAUAAACCAAAGUGCGGAGGGGCAUCAUCAGACGUGGACUUUUACUUUGUAGCCUGGGCAGUGAUGUUGCUGAUGGAGCCAGCUUCCUUUUAGCAGCCUCUACCAAUGAAUCCCGUGCAAAUAGGGAAGCAAACAGUUAAUACAACUAUGUACUUCUUAAGAGCAGUCCAACACAGGUUGGUCUGUUGUUAGCCGACAGGGUACUAAUCGGCCUGCUGUAAGUUAAUUAGUUCCAAUUGGCCACCAGAUGACUGACUGUAUUAUUUCAAAAAAACUGCGUAAUAUUUCUGAAAAUUAAUUAAAAAUGUAUAGUUUAAAAAAAUUAGCACUAUUUAGACCGGUCGAGCCCUUGUGCUUAGGCGAGGUGGGACUAAACCCAGCUCUCACACAAACGGAGAAGUUCAAAAUAAUCAUGCAAUGAAACAACGCUUUGCCGAGAGCCAAGUCACGGGCUCCCGGCAAAGCCUAGCCACUGUCACCGAGCCGUCAACCACUACUGGACUUGCCACAGGCACCUCUUUGCCGUGGGUACACUGUUUGGUUCUCGGCGUACAGAGCGAUUGCCGAGUUGCCUCCUUUUACCGAGUGUUCUUUACAAAUUGUCUUGGUACAUGCCUGUGUUUGCCGUGCAGCAUCUAAUGCCGAGCAAGACUCGCGGCUUACGUCGUUUUGCCGAGCGCUUGUGUCUUGGUUCUCGGCAAAGAGCCGAACACUUGGCGUAGAGUGAAAUUCCAGUAGUGCACACAACUGGAUGCAUGACUUCAUUUCUAAAACUAUGCAUUAUCCUUGAAUGAAACGAGUGUCAUGUAAAUGGUAUGCACAAGAAGGCCAGAACUCUCAGCAUCAUGUCUGUGUGCGAUUGUUCUCAUGAAUCCUGGUACCUUCCAUCCCUAAACCAGUUAUCUUGUUGGAAAUCCAGUAGUUGAUAGUUCUCACUCAUAGAAAGCCUAAGAUCAACAAGGAAGAGGGAACUGGAUUGGACUUUAGCCCGUGGAUAUUGUAAGCCUAGUACAGUACGUACUACGUACGUAAGAAGGGAGGAAAGCAAGGCCGGUGUAUAUAUAGGCAGAGACAGCUAAGAUGCUAGGGUUGUACUAGGGGCAACACAUUUAUUUUAUUUAUUUCUGAAGGACAACAUGAGCACGGCCACAACAACCAGUCUGAUUAAACACAAGAUAAUGCGCUGCCGAAUUACGACCAAGAAUUUACAAAUACUUCUUAAAUACCCACUAAACAGACUACUGGUGAACAAUCUCCAUGACAGUUUUAUCUUUGGAAGAUUCCAAAUUCAGUUUUUUUUACGUGAAGAGCUCUGCCUUUGCAUUAUAGGAGAAAAGAAGUCACAAGUCAUACAAUAACGGGUGGACAACCCAGGGCAAAUAACAGGUCAUACACCCACUCGACCACACAGCCUAAAAAAGAUGCUACGGGUGGACUACAUCACUCGCCCAGAAUGGUUGCCCCUCUCGUGGCCUCAUUGAAACACCGGAUGUCGUCGUUGAUAAGCCUUGUCAGCGCAAGCGCCGUCAGCUCCUUGCGCUCGAAAACUCUCCGGUCCUCUCCUUCCACAGGUUCCAUACGAUGUAUGCUCCCAGUGUGAUCUCCUCCUUGCUUUUUUCUCUCGUUUCCCUGACAAUGCACAACUGAUCCCACCAUUCUGUAAUGGAUUGCGCCGCAGCGGCCGCAAAUUCAGUUUCAAAGGAAGACAUGCAUUGUAGUUACAUAUCACUCAUUCUGAACAGGUCUGAAUCCGGGAAGUCGUAUUUCUUUGGGAAAAUGGAUAUAGCAAAGGAGCUAUUACAUCAAAUUUAUCAACAUAAACAUAAACCGAAGAGCAGAGGGGCAUCAUCAGACGCAGACUUUUACUUCGUAGCCUGGGCAAUGAUGUUACUGAUGGAGCCACCUUCCUCUUUAGCAGCCUCUACCAACGAAUCCUGUGG
RNAcentral lists this long non-coding RNA (2034 nucleotides) under Triticum aestivum (bread wheat). RNAcentral describes it as "long non-coding RNA (TAES_LNC009246)". The record is from RNAcentral. Lineage: Eukaryota; Viridiplantae; Streptophyta; Magnoliopsida; Poales; Poaceae.